UACAGAGGUCUCAAGCGUUGUUCGGAUUCAUUGGGCGUAAAGGGUGUGUAGGCGGCGCCGUAAGUCAGGUGUGAAAUCUCGGGGCUUAACUCCGAAACUGCAUUUGAUACUGCGGUGCUUGAGGACUGGAGAGGAGACUGGAAUUUACGGUGUAGCGGUGAAAUGCGUAGAUAUCGUAAGGAAGACCAGUGGCGAAGGCGGCUUUCUGGACCGACACUGACGCUGAUGCGCGAAAGCUAGGGGAGCAAACGGG
This 253-nucleotide ribosomal RNA is filed under the name uncultured prokaryote. RNAcentral describes it as "partial 16S ribosomal RNA". It matches the Rfam family "Bacterial small subunit ribosomal RNA", at positions 524 to 776 of the family's 1533-position model. The record is from RNAcentral.